ACUCAAAGGAAUUGACGGGGGCCCGCACAAGCGGUGGAGCAUGUGGUUUAAUUCGACGCAACGCGCAGAACCUUACCAGCCCUUGACAUCCCGGUCGCGGACUCCAGAGACGGAGUUCUUCAGUUCGGCUGGACCGGAGACAGGUGCUGCAUGGCUGUCGUCAGCUCGUGUCGUGAGAUGUUGGGUUAAGUCCCGCAACGAGCGCAACCCCCGUCCUUAGUUGCUACCAUUUAGUUGAGCACUCUAAGGAGACUGCCGGUGAUAAGCCGCGAGGAAGGUGGGGAUGACGUCAAGUCCUCAUGGCCCUUACGGGCUGGGCUACACACGUGCUACAAUGGCGGUGACAAUGGGAUGCUAAGGGGCGACCCUUCGCAAAUCUCAAAAAGCCGUCUCAGUUCGGAUUGGGCUCUGCAACUCGAGCCCAUGAAGUUGGAAUCGCUAGUAAUCGUGGAUCAGCACGCCACGGUGAAUACGUUCCCGGGCCUUGUACACACCGCCCGU
Molecule: ribosomal RNA, 501 nt
Filed under: uncultured bacterium
Lineage: Bacteria
Description: bacterial SSU rRNA
Rfam family: Bacterial small subunit ribosomal RNA
Source: RNAcentral